RNAcentral lists this long non-coding RNA (1398 nucleotides) under Homo sapiens (human). RNAcentral's name for it is "long intergenic non-protein coding RNA 2020". The record is from RNAcentral. Lineage: Eukaryota; Metazoa; Chordata; Mammalia; Primates; Hominidae.
GGGCAAUAACAAGCGUGGAGCUUCAUUUCCUCUGAUAACAAUGCCUUCUUCUCGAAUCCUUCCUGGAGGACCUGUCUGAGGAUGUUUUCCAGCUAGCUUUUUUUUCAUAAGUAGAAAGAGUACACUAAAAUAACAGCAAAAAGUAUAGUAGAUACAUAAACCAGUACCAUAGUCAUUUAUUAUCAAGUAUUAUGUACUAUACAUAACUGGAUGUGCUAUACUUUUAUUAUACAACUGGCAGAGCAGUCAAUUUGUUUACCCCAGCAUAACCACAUACAUGUUCUGCUUGAAUUCUUGCCCUGGCUCUUGGUGAAGGAUCGGCCUGCUGGAUCUGAGUCAUCCACCUAUAAGAGGGACAACACCACACAUUGGUCGCUGCUCUCAAGCCCCUGGAAUACCACCCCACUUGGCUUCUCCUGAUACCACCCACAUAAACAAAAACUUUUUGGGAGUCCUCCAGAAUUUUUAAGAGUUAUCUAAACUAUUGCCUUUAAUGACCAGGAACUCCAAUUUGAGAAGUUACCCUACGUUAAGCCAACAGCAGCCUGGCUCCUUCAUCCUGUGCAGUAUGGGACAGAGCUGGGUCCUUGUUGUCAUCAGCCAGACAAGCACACAUUAAAGCCCACCUUAGCCAUUGGCAUUACAGCUUUAAAAGCAGCUCCAUCCUACCAUGCUGUCACUCUACUCAAUCACGUGAUCUUAACGACCAGCUCUACAUAUCCUCUCUCCAUGCCCCCACCACCAUCCCCCACCAACAAAUCCGGUAAUCUAUCUCUGUCAAUAGUCCUGCAGUGAAUUCCGAAUAAGUUUUUCUCUUCCCUGGCCUGCCGUUUACGUAGUACCCUGGAUGAAUCUAUACUUACUCCAUAGUAAGUAGUACCUUGGAUGAAUCUAUACUUGCAUCCAAUGGAAAUGAGAGUGAUGGUGCAGAGUUAUCCGAAGUAACUCCAGCUAUGUUGUGGAUCUUCUAAUCAUGGGCUCAUCUAAGCCUUCCCAGAUAUCACUCUAGUUUUUACAAUCUUUGUUUAUGACAAUUAGGGCUGUAACAUUGGCUGUAGACAUUUGUUGCAUCAAGGAACUCAGCUUCCACUGAAGUUCUGAAGUUAAUCAGUUUCUGAUCUUGUUCUGCAACUCUCUGCAAGAAGAAAAAUCACCAGGAAAUAGUGCAUCCUGAAAGGAGUCAAAGUUUCCUUAUCCAGCUGGAGCAGUGUGAUCUCGGACCAGAGUCAAUUCCUUGCCCAACAGACUUCACAUUGAGCCAUGAGAAGCAGCCUACUUACCCUUACCUGGACACUUCUCCAAAACCUGUGAAAUGGCCUCUGUCACUGCCUCAAAGCCUCAUCCUUGGUGGGCAACUCACCUGGAUCCUGAGACCAAAAUAUAGAGCUUAAUGAACUG